UGAUCUGAAACAAAAAUAAUAAUUAUUUGUUAUAAAUGGUUAAGGUAUAUUUGAUAUUGCAGUUUAACACAUACUCUAGUUAUGCGCUGUAAAAGCGGCUGAACUGUAUGACGCCAUUAUCAAUUUUGUACGAACAAAGAGCGCGGAGCACGUUGGCGCGAGAAAAGGGAAAUGGCUUAUGCUCCGGAAAUGCUGGAAAUUGACGGAGGAAUCAACGGACACUCUGAGGAAGGAGCCGUAAAGAAAAACAAGCGGUUGGAAACGGACAAGGCAGAAGUUUGGGAGGUUAUAAAAACAUGGCUGAAGCAUGCCGCAGAAAAACUGAAGAAGGAGCAGCGGAAGCUGCAGCCUGAUGAAUAAUAAGAUUAUUUGUUGCAUACAGUGGAAAACUUCUAGUCAAACUUUUAAUCCUGUAAUGCCCAGAGUGAUACUGAGCGUCGUUGGUUGUUUGUAACUUACGCUGUGGAAAGUAGACAUAUCUCAAUUUCUUUUUCAACUACAAAAGAUACUGGCUGUAUCAGAUGUUAUACAUUGGGCAAUUAAUAAACUAUAUCUAUGAACAACAC
This 566-nucleotide unclassified non-coding RNA is filed under the name Ixodes scapularis (black-legged tick). Its description in RNAcentral is "uncharacterized LOC115321253, transcript variant X2". Lineage: Eukaryota; Metazoa; Arthropoda; Arachnida; Ixodida; Ixodidae. The record is from RNAcentral.